GCCAGUGUGGUGUAGUGGUUUGAGCAUAGGACUGUGGCUCUGAAGACUAGGGAUCAAUCCCCUGCUUGGCCA
Molecule: non-coding RNA, 72 nt
Organism: Phrynosoma platyrhinos (Desert horned lizard)
Lineage: Eukaryota; Metazoa; Chordata; Lepidosauria; Squamata; Phrynosomatidae
Source: the annotation of a GenBank genome assembly